This 484-nucleotide ribosomal RNA is filed under the name uncultured bacterium. Its description in RNAcentral is "partial 16S ribosomal RNA". It matches the Rfam family "Bacterial small subunit ribosomal RNA", at positions 30 to 507 of the family's 1533-position model. The record is from RNAcentral.
AUUGAACGCUGGCGGCAUGCCUUACACAUGCAAGUCGAACGGCAGCGCGGACUUCGGUCUGGCGGCGAGUGGCGAACGGGUGAGUAAUACAUCGGAACGUACCCUGUUGUGGGGGAUAACUAGUCGAAAGAUUAGCUAAUACCGCAUACGACCUGAGGGUGAAAGUGGGGGACCGCAAGGCCUCACGCAGCAGGAGCGGCCGAUGUCUGAUUAGCUAGUUGGUGGGGUAAAGGCCCACCAAGGCGACGAUCAGUAGCUGGUCUGAGAGGACGAUCAGCCACACUGGGACUGAGACACGGCCCAGACUCCUACGGGAGGCAGCAGUGGGGAAUUUUGGACAAUGGGGGCAACCCUGAUCCAGCAAUGCCGCGUGUGUGAAGAAGGCCUUCGGGUUGUAAAGCACUUUUGUCCGGAAAGAAAUCGCGCUGGUUAAUACCUGGCGCGGAUGACGGUACCGGAAGAAUAAGCACCGGCUAACUACGUG